ACUAUCCUCUUCUUAUUCUUUCAUCAAAUCAAGUAAUCAUCAAAUAAAUAAAAAAAUCAAAAUAAGACAAAGUUGAGGAUAGUAGACUUGAGCCCUUGAUUAAUCAGAUUCAAUGCUUAGGAUUAAAACAAAGACAUACACAUUGCCAAUCCCCCGCUUGACAAUGUCUAUUUGUUUGUUUUAAUUUUGGCCAUUGAAUUUAAGUAAUCAAGGGGUCUUG
This 220-nucleotide long non-coding RNA is filed under the name Lathyrus oleraceus (garden pea). RNAcentral describes it as "Pisum sativum (pea) long non-coding RNA (PSAT_LNC012709)". The record is from RNAcentral. Lineage: Eukaryota; Viridiplantae; Streptophyta; Magnoliopsida; Fabales; Fabaceae.